Spinacia oleracea (spinach) is the source of this 3794-nucleotide long non-coding RNA. RefSeq lists it as uncharacterized. The transcript has 3 exons. The record is from RefSeq and is a predicted model, not a curated record. NCBI's taxonomy places the organism in Eukaryota, Viridiplantae, Streptophyta, Magnoliopsida, Caryophyllales, Amaranthaceae.
AAACAAAAAAAAUGAACCCAAUUAAAAGAAAGAAUUAUUAAACGACAUUUUCUCCUUCUUCCUGCGUUUCCUCCCUUGCUUGUUGAGCUCUCAUCCAUGGUGGAAAAGCCGGAAAAACCUCUCAAAAUCAAUUGAUCCUCCUAAGUUCUUAGUAAAGGAACCGCGCUGGCUAAUUUGACGCAAUCACUCGUCAAUUAUUGAGGCAUUUACUAGGGCAUUUGCACCAUAACUUGUUCUGCGACUUCAGACUCACAACCAGGAUGCACGAGUGCAGGGUCAAGAGUAUCAGGCCUGGAAAACACCCAUCACAAAGAACACGAUAAUUAAGACUUUAUCAUUCAAAAUCUAGGAUAAUAUAAUAGGUGUAGAAAUACAUUAAACUGGUGCACCCAUCGUUAGGAUGCUCUGUGAGUUGAUUCCGAGCUGUUUUUAUUCGCUUUUUUCAGGUAUUAAUAAUACCUAUUAGCUCAACUGGUAGAUCUUUGUGCAAUUGCACAAUGGUAUAGGUUCGAAUCCUACAUAGGCAACUCUUUUGUAUUUUGUUUAUGAUAUCAAAAUGAGCAAAUUUUUUAAAACAUUUGUUCAUAUGUGUAAAAUAUCAAAUGAGCUAACUUUUUUAAAGUUAAGAAUUUAGAAUUUUAAAAAUAUUUACUCAUUUGUGUAAACUAUAAAAAAUGAGCAAGAUUUUUGAAUGUUGAGUAAUGUGAGAUUUUAAAAUAUUUGCUCAUUUAGACAUAAUGAGCAAAAGUUUUGAAUAUUAACAAAAACGAACCUUAAAAUUUUAAAAAUGAGCAAAAAUAUUUGCUCAUUUGGUUAACUAUAAGAAAUGAGCAAAAAUAUUUGCUCAUUUGUGUAAAUUAAAAAAAAUGAGCAAAUUUUUUGAAUGUUAAAUAAUCUGGAUUUUAAAAUAUUUUCUCAUUUAGACACAAUGAGCGAAAGUUUUGAAUAUUAACAAACACGAACUUUAAAAUUUUAAAAAUGAAUAAAAAUAUUUGCUCAUUUGGGAAAACUAUAAGAAAUGAGCAAAAAUAUUUGCUCAUUUGUGUAAAUUUUAAAAAAUGAGCAAAUUUUUUGAAUGUUAAAUAAUAUGAGAUUUUAAAAUAUUUUCUCAUUUAGACACAAUGAGCAAAAGUUUUGAAUAUUACAAACACGAACUUUAAAAUUUUAAAAAUGAGAAAAAAUAUUUGCUCAUUUGGUUAAACUAUAAGAAGUGUAAAUUAAAAAAAAUGAACAAAUUUUUUGAAUGUUAAAUAAUCUAGAUUUUAAAAUAUUUUCUCAUUUAGACACAAUGAGCAAAAGUUUUGAAUAUUAACAAACACGAACUUUAAAAUUUUAAAAAUGAACAAAAAUAUUUGCUCAUUUGGGUAAACUAUAAGAAAUGAGCAAAAAUAUUUGCUCAUUUGUGUAAAUUUAAAAAAAUGAGCAAAAUUUUGGAAUGUUAAAUAAUAUGAGAUUUUAAAAUAUUUUCUCAUUUAGACACAAUGAGCAAAAGUUUUGAAUAUUAACAAAUCCGAAUUUUAAAAUUUUUAAAAUGAGCAAAAAAUAUUUGCUCAUUUGUGAAAACUGUAAAAAAUGAGCAAAUUUAUUUGCUUAUUUAGACACGAUGAGCAAAAAUUUUGAAUAUUAACAAAUCCGAACUUUAAAAUUUUAAAAAUGAGCAAAAAUAUUUACUCAUUGUGUAAACUAUAAAAAAUGAGCAAAUUUAUUUUCUCAUUUAGACACGAUGAGCAAAAGUUUUCAAUAUUGACAAAUCCAAACUUUAAAUUUUUAAAAAUGAGCAAAAGUAUUUUCUCAUUUUUGUAAACUAUAAAAAAUGAUCAAAUUUAUUUGCUCAUUUAGACACGAUGAGCAAAAGUUUUCAAUAUUAACAAAUCCGAACUUUAAAAUUUUAAAAAUGAGUAAAAGUAUUUGCUCAUUUGUGUUAACUAAAAAAAUGAGCAAAUUUAUUUGCUCAUUUAGACACGAUGAGCAAAAGUUUUAAAUAUUAACAAAUCCGAACUUUAAAAUUUUAAAAAUGAGCAAAAGUAUUUACUCAUUUGUGUUAACUAUAAAAAAAUGAGCAAAUUUAUUUGCUCAUUUAGAAACGAUGAGCAAAAGUUUUCAAAAUUAACAAAUUCGAACUUUAAAUUUUAAAAAUGAGCAAAAGUAUUUGCUCAUUUGUGUAAACUAUAAAAAAUGAGAAAAUUUAUUUGCUCAUUUAGACACGAUGAGCAAAAGUUUUCAAUAUUAAAAAGUAAAGUUUAACCUACGUGGGAUUCGAACCCACAUCUUUUGUGCAUUUGCACAAUGCUCUGCCUAUUGAGCUAGUAGGCUAGUGUUUUUAAAUAGAAUCAACAAAAAGUAAAGGAUAAACCAAAAAAGAGUAAAUCAAAAUUAUUUGAAAACUUGAGCUAAUAGGCAUCAAUUGAACUAAUAGAGUAAAGAUGUUAAACACAUUCUAAUAUACACAAGUAUAUGGAGUAUUCACUAAUCUGUGAGAAAAAGGUUUGUAUUAGUAGAAGGUUAUACCUUUUUCCAAACCUGAAACGAUGUUGUUAGCACAUCAACCUGUGAGAGUCAGAACAUCAACCUGUGGUCAAAACUGGUUAAAGUAUAUCCCAGCUUGGAAUACAUUGACUUGAGUUACAAUCAACUAGGUGGUCAACUCUCACCAAACUGGGGAAAGUCCAUAAACUUGACUGCUUUGUUGGUGGUGAAAUACCAAAAGAUAUUUCUAUUGGUGGUCAACCCACAAUCGAUCUGUAUUGGAAACUUACAAAAAUAGUAUAGUGAGACAAUAUCAGUGAAGCCACCAACAACAGAAAUGAGCAAAAGGUAGGCAGCAACUCUGAGAAACAGCCUUGAAUCUUUACCUAAAGUAACAUUCCGGAAAACUAGUACCAACACGUUAAUAUUUUUGCGAGCUAGCUCUCCCACCUCAGCUACCAGUUCUUCGCUCAGAUACAUAUAUGGUAAUGGUGGAGCUGGUCUGUUGGAUGUCAACUAAUGCACUUGGUUAGCAAUUUGCUGAAACAAGUAAAUCUAAUAGCUGCUUUUAUGUUAUUGAUCAAGUACAUUGUUAUCGAGUGUGAACUCUAUCCUUAAACAUUCAGGAAGCUGUUGUAGAGUUUGCACAUUUUGGUUUAUGCAUAUGGGCCUCAAGAAUUGGGUUCCAAGGACUGUUCUCAAGAUGAUCUCAGACAGUCCGAGUCCAAAUUCUUUCUCAACAAGAUUCAUGAUUGAGCUUAAGUUGAGAUUGAAAUUUUGUCAGGUAUCUCAACAUCCGCAAUUCCACUGUAUGAUCAUGUGUUUUGCAGUCAAAUACUAUGGAAUAAGUUAUCUAAUGCAAUCAAGUUUAGGCAACUUUUGAAGUUAAUUAAAGAUUCUUUAGCAAAAUAUUAGGCCAUCACCAUCCUUAAAAACAAUGGACUAAAAAGUUAAUAUUACACAGAUAAGUAUUAGUUAAGAUGAAAUGCUUCUUCUGUUAGUGUCAGAGACACUCUUUUUGCAGGGUAUGCAGUACUUCUACUUGCGGCUUAUUGGGAUACCAAACAACAGCUUGGCCAAGUGUAAAAGAGGGUGAAAUAUGCGUGAAGAGUGUAGCAGCCUAUUGGUGAUAUAUGCUUGACUGAAUGGUCUUCUCUAAUACUUUAGACCAAUGGUUUACAACUUUGUAUAGAACUAAGAGAAGAACUAUGGUUGCUCCCGCAUCAUUGUAACAUUACAUACAAAGACCAUUUUCUUUUAUUGGCUCGCAAAAUCAAUACUAUAAAUGGUGUGUUCUAUUCAUCAAAUGAAACAUGAACUUAUCUUAA